Asparagus officinalis (garden asparagus) is the source of this 1783-nucleotide long non-coding RNA. RefSeq lists it as uncharacterized. The transcript has 7 exons. The record is from RefSeq and is a predicted model, not a curated record. Lineage: Eukaryota; Viridiplantae; Streptophyta; Magnoliopsida; Asparagales; Asparagaceae.
UCUCCCUCUCUCAAUCAAGCGCUCGUGGGCACAACAAAGAAAAGUGGCAAGCUUCUCUCUCUCUCUCUCAUUUUGAAUAAUUAGGGUUUUGCAUUUAGUUUGUGAGAAGGAAAUCUUUUGUUUAAAGAACUACAAUCUGUUUAAUUUAGCGUUUUUAUCUCGAAAUUUUUUAGCUCUCAUUUUAAAGUAUAGUUUCUAUCUCAGAAUGUUGAUAUCUCACGUGAAGUCAGAGUUUUCACCUAAAAAAAGUUGAGCUAUCACUUUGAUUAGGGUUUUCGCUUCAAAUUCUUCAUCUCUCAAUGCAAACUAGGCUUUUUGCCUCAAAAAGUUGAUCUCUCACUCAAAGUUAGGGUUUCCGCCUCAAAAGCUUGAUUUUUCAUUUGAAUUAGGGUUUCACUUUAAAAUCUCGAUCUCUCACUUGAGAUCAGGGUUUUUGCAUCAAAAAAUUUUAAUUUUCAAUUAAAAUCAAGGAUUCCGGCUCAAAAGACGGUCUCAUUUCGAAUCAUCCUUUUUUAUAAAAUAUUAAUUGAAUGUUGUGCUUUCAUUUAUUUUUUUAAUAGACAUUUUUACAAUAAGAUUGGUCAGGUGGUCAGUUCAUGAUUUUCAUAUAUACUCAUGCAUACUUGGAAGCAGCGAAGUUGAAGGAUAUUAUGAUGAUUCGAAAUAAGUGAUUCCCAGCAGACGGCCAUCUCGAUAAUGGACAGUGUAUAGUUCUGUGAACUCUUAGCCCUUUCACAAACUAUUUUUGGUUGGAUCAAUGUGUAUCAUUUCAGACCUUUUAUUAAUUUGUCAACAAGCAUAACAAAGUGAUUUCCUCAACAAGGAAUUGAUACUUUUCUUAUAGAGGAUUUGCAAUGGUCUAAUUCAUGGUUGAUGGACUAAACGUGGUCAAAGUAGAUGCUGUUCUGCACUUUCAAACACAACUUUGCUAGGAAGCUCAGACCUUUUUCUGGUCCAAUGAUGGUUCCAGUUUUAGAUGACAAACUGCAAUUGAAAAAGCUUCUCAUUGCAGGAUUGUGCUGAGACCUUGUCUGAAGGCGUUCUAUAUUAUGCAAUGGAAUCCCGUGUUUCCUUUUUCUACAUGAGGUUGUGCUCUGUAAAAGCAAAAGAAAAGAAUCAGAGAGCUUGGAGGAUGAGGAAGAAAAUAGAGUUUGUUGCUGCAAAUAAAUCCCUAUUUGAUUCCGAUGAGAAAUCCAAGUCAGGAAAAAUACUUCCAAAGGCUGCAGGGGGGUGGUGAAUGACUCUUCGAGGGUCACUGGAGGAAGAUGCCAAGGAUGUUGCCAAUUUUGGAAGUGCUGAUGUUGCCAUGGAGUCAAUUAGAGACUACUUAAAUGGGUGGUAAGGACAGCGGGCAGUAAGCAAAGAGGCUGCAUCACCGCUAUUACUUUGUGCAAGAAGCUGAUUUUACCAGUCAGGGAAGUCAUCACCACAGGCUGUCAUUAGCCCUUACCAUCAGGAGAGGCUGGCUAACCCAGCGUAUUAGGCUACUUCAGCAAUUUCAGUCCAGAAGUCAGUUGAUCCUUUGUGUUAAACAAUGAGAGGCAAAAAGAAAUUCUCUAGCUUGCAAGAAAGAGAAUACACAUUCGAAGCAUAGCGAGGAGAGUUUCAAGACAUUAGAUCGGGUCAGAUAUUUUGAGGCAGAGAGAUAACCCGAUCGAGGGAUAACAGAGGAAGUUUGAGCUGAAGAAGACUCACAUUGAGAGCAAGCCGGCGAUGAAUGUUGUAGUGCUCAACAGCCAAAGCAAGAAUGAAGCUACCAAGAACAAGGGCAAUUAUAUCAUCC